Molecule: ribosomal RNA, 367 nt
Filed under: uncultured bacterium
Lineage: Bacteria
Description: bacterial SSU rRNA
Rfam family: Bacterial small subunit ribosomal RNA
Source: RNAcentral
GACGAACGCUGGCGGCGUGCUUAACACAUGCAAGUCGAGCGGUAAGGCCCUUUCGGGGGUACACGAGCGGCGAACGGGUGAGUAACACGUGGGUGACCUGCCCUCAGCUCUGGGAUAAGCCCGGGAAACUGGGUCUAAUACUGGAUAUGACUCCAUGACGCAUGUUGUGGGGUGGAAAGCCUUGUGCGGCUGAGGAUGGGCCCGCGGCCUAUCAGCUUGUUGGNGGGUGAUGGCCUACCAAGGCGACGACGGGUAGCCGGCCUGAGAGGGCGACCGGCCACACUGGGACUGAGACACGGCCCGAGACUCCUACGGGAGGCAGCAGUGGGGAAUCUUGCGCAAUGGGCGAAAGCCUGACGCAGCGACG